AACGAACGCUGGCGGCAUGCCUAACACAUGCAAGUCGAACGAGACCUCCGGGUCUAGUGGCGCAUGGGUGCGUCACGCGUCGGAACCUGCCCUUAUGUUCGGAAUACCUCCCCGUAAGGGGUGCUAAUACCGGAUAAUGUCUUCGGACCACAGAUGUAUCGCCAUUGGAUGGGCCGGCGUUGGAUUAGCUAGUUGGUAGGGUAAGAGCCUAUCACGGCAACACUAGAUAGCUGGUUAGAGAGACAGAGCCGCCACGCUGGGACGGAGACGCGGCCCAGACUAUUACGGGAGGCAGGAGUGGGGAAUAUUGCAAAACCGGGGAAAGCCUGAUCCAGCAAGGCCGGGUGAGUGAUGAAGGUCUUAGGGUAGAAAAGCUCUUUUACCCGGGAUGAUAAUGACAGUACCGGGAGAAUAAGCACCGGCUAACUCCGUG
RNAcentral lists this ribosomal RNA (433 nucleotides) under uncultured bacterium. Its description in RNAcentral is "partial 16S ribosomal RNA". It matches the Rfam family "Bacterial small subunit ribosomal RNA", at positions 29 to 507 of the family's 1533-position model. The record is from RNAcentral.